Pangasianodon gigas (Mekong giant catfish) is the source of this 73-nucleotide non-coding RNA. The record is from the annotation of a GenBank genome assembly. NCBI's taxonomy places the organism in Eukaryota, Metazoa, Chordata, Actinopteri, Siluriformes, Pangasiidae.
UCCCUGAAGGACUUAGUGGGUAGGCCUUGGUGCUCUCACUGCCACGGCCCAGGUUCGAUUCCCGGCGGGGGAA